UACGUAGGGUGCGAGCGUUGUCCGGAAUUAUUGGGCGUAAAGAGCUCGUAGGCGGUGUGUCACGUCGGCCGUGAAAACCUGCAGCUUAACUGUGGGCGUGCGGUCGAUACGGGCAUCACUGGAGUUCGGCAGGGGAGACUGGAAUUCCUGGUGUAGCGGUGAAAUGCGCAGAUAUCAGGAGGAACACCGGUGGCGAAGGCGGGUCUCUGGGCCGUAACUGACGCUGAGGCGCGAAAGCGUGGGGAGCAAACAGG
Molecule: ribosomal RNA, 254 nt
Filed under: uncultured bacterium
Lineage: Bacteria
Description: partial 16S ribosomal RNA
Rfam family: Bacterial small subunit ribosomal RNA
Source: RNAcentral